This is a long non-coding RNA of Vespa mandarinia (Asian giant hornet), 2176 nucleotides long. The record is from RefSeq and is a predicted model, not a curated record. Lineage: Eukaryota; Metazoa; Arthropoda; Insecta; Hymenoptera; Vespidae.
GAGAGAAAGAGAGAGAAAGAGAGAGAGAGAGAGAGAGAGAGAGAGAGAGAGAACGGAGAUCUAUCUCUUCCUUAUUAUCGAGUGCGUUAUUGUAUUUCGUUUAGUGCGUGGUGACGAUCAUCAUCGUCCUUUUUGUGUAGAAAAUUUUCUUUAUAGAAAUAGAAGAGAAGGGAGAAAAGAAGAAGAAGAAGAAGAAGAAGAAAAGUGAAGAAAACGAGAGAAGAGAGGAAACAUAAACGAAAAGGAAAGAAUAAAAAGAAAAAGAAAGGAAAAGGUGGGGUGAUCUUUUUCUUUGUGUACGCGCCUACGAAACCCCCUUCUUCCCUCCUCUCGCGCGUGCACGCACACACGCACACACAUACACAUAUAUAUAUAUAUAUAUAUAUGCGCGCGCGUACGCACGCACGACGUACGCACGUACACACAUUUCUCAACUAUGCGAUAUAGUGUGUCCGUGAAAAUUGUUGUAAGUCUAUCUAUUCUUCGUAAAAUUUCUAUUAUUUUUUUCAUCUUUCUUUAUAUUAUUUCAUUCUUUUUUUUUUUUAUUAUUAAUUCCCUUUUCUUCUCUCGUUUUAUUCGUUUUGUCACAACGUGGUAACAACACCACAUGAAACUUCUCCCGCGUCUUUUCAACGCACGCAGUGACGUUCGCGAUCGCCGCGUACAACAUCACCUCCCCUCUCUUCCCUCCCAUCCUUUCUUCCUCCCUCACAAGUCAGUUCGCCUGCCUGCCUGCCUGCCUACUCCUACGCCGUGCUCCUCCUCCUCCUUCUCCUCCUCCUCUUCUUUCGCUACAUCCUCUUUCUCCUCCUUCUCCUUCUUUACCCCUCUUCCCCACCUCUUCACCAAACCUUCGACACGCUCCUGCUCGUCCGUUUCUCGUGCGCGCGCGAAGUCACGAAGGAGCUUCGUACGUCGCCGGCUAAACCGUAGAGCCCCCCGUAUACGUAUAGACGUAGCCAUAGUUCAAAAGAAGAGGGAGAAUCAAGGCAACAAGGACGGGAAGAAAAGAGAAGAAAAGCUAUAUCUUUCUCUUUCUCUCUCCCUUUUUUCGUCAUCGUUCGUCAUCAUCGUCGUCUCUUCGUCUUUAUAUCUUCGUCACGUUACGCUCCUCUCUCUCUCUUUUGAGAUCGAGAGAUCGAGAAGCACUUAAGAUACGAGACGCAUGUUUUUUGCAAUCGUCAUCAUCAUCGUCAUUAACGUAGUCAUCGUUGUAAUCUAAAUGUCAGUAGGAAGCAGCCAGAACGGCAAUAGCAGCACCAGCAGCAGCAGCAGCGUGUUCCUAACCUCCAAAUUGCCGUUCGUCGUUCUCUCGUGUUAUCCCGCUUUCUCUCUCUCUCUCUCUCUCUCUCUCUCUCCUCUCUCUCUCUCUCUCUCUCUGUCGUGAACAAGCGACGCACCAACCAACGAUUGCUAUUACCACUACCACAAUACUAAUACUACUACAAUAUUACUACUACACUACUAAUACACUACUACUACUAAUAUUACGUCUACUACUACACUAAACGACAGUGAGACUACCAGCACGAGACAAGAACGCGUCAUCGAGGAAACAGCCUGACGUUGUUUGUUCACGGCAUCGAUUCGAAUCGUACUUCGCGUCUAUCGCGUGUUAUACCGUAAAUCAAAAUCGUCGGUGGUGUGGCUGGCGUUGUGCCCCCAUGACCACCGUGCGUGUAUUCACCAAUUCUUUUUUCUUUUUCCAUCGAAAGAUUCUUGUGCUUUGUGUAAAGAAUAAUAAUAAUAAGAAGAAGAAGAGAAAGUAGAAGAAGAAAAAAAAGAGAUAAACGACUCCUGUAAGAAGAAGAAAAAGGAAUAAAAGAAACAGCGAAGAGGAAAAAAUAAAAGAGAAAGAAAGAAAAAAAGAGAGGAAAGAUAUAUAAACUUUUCUGUGAUAACACGUUCUCUUUUCUUCGUUUGAAAAUUGCCAGCCGGCGGUGGAUUCAAAACGACGUACUUCGCCGGUGAUCAUCAUCGUCCUACCGUUGUCACGGUAGGUCAAGUGCAAAAUAAAAUAGAAUACUGUGUACUGAACGAAAGUAAGGCGCGUUUGUGGAAUUUGGAAAGUAUGAUGAUGGCAAAUCUUUCCCCCGUUAUGCUGCCGCCUAUAGCCGACUACGGGAUGCUGACGCCUACACUCGGAAUAAAGGUGAGUUUUUAAAUUCUACGAACA